UGGGUCAUCCAGUGAAUCCAUGGCUAGCUGGUAGCCAGACUUUACGGAGUAGACUCCCGAUUUGGUAAGGUUCCAGCAAUAGCUUGGAGGGCGAGUAGAGCGAGUCGGCCUGAGGCUACGUAUAAGGGGGAUGUCACUCGGGAUUACUAGCUCUCGAAGGCGUUCAUGCUGCCAGUCUUUUGAGAUCGGGUCCAACAGGUCUGCCACGCGGAGAGCGGGGUUAAAGGAAGGUCUGCGGGGGAUGGCAGGACGAGCCGGUGUUGACGGGAUCCAGGGGUCGGCCCAGACCAGGGUGGUGUCUCCGGUCCCUAUCGACUUACGGAUGCCUUUUUUGAGCAGGGUUUGAG
RNAcentral lists this long non-coding RNA (347 nucleotides) under Brassica rapa (field mustard). Its description in RNAcentral is "long non-coding RNA (BRAP_LNC001166)". The record is from RNAcentral. Lineage: Eukaryota; Viridiplantae; Streptophyta; Magnoliopsida; Brassicales; Brassicaceae.